UAUACGGAUGCGAUGACGAUCGGCUGGUC
RNAcentral lists this small RNA (29 nucleotides) under Bombyx mori (domestic silkworm). Its description in RNAcentral is "ovarian small RNA-23333". The record is from RNAcentral. Lineage: Eukaryota; Metazoa; Arthropoda; Insecta; Lepidoptera; Bombycidae.